This is a long non-coding RNA of Podarcis raffonei (Aeolian wall lizard), 336 nucleotides long. RefSeq lists it as uncharacterized. Lineage: Eukaryota; Metazoa; Chordata; Lepidosauria; Squamata; Lacertidae. The record is from RefSeq and is a predicted model, not a curated record. The transcript is spliced from 2 exons.
ACUUUAAUGAUCUUGAGGAAGCUGCCAGGAUAAAAACACAUGCUAAAUUCCUAUACUCAACAACUCUGGCAAGCAUAACAAUAAGCGUUAUAUAGUGUUACAAUUACGUUUCAUUGUGAAGUGUGGCUUUCUUCAAACAAACAAAAACUCUGAACUUAGAUUGGCUGAUUUAUCUAGGAGCCCACAAAGGCAACUCCAUGUGGACUGACUGUGUAAAAAUGGCAACGUUAAGCUGCCUCUUAGUAGCACUAGCAAGGAACAGGGUUCAGUGCUUCCUGCCUAGUCACUGUGGAAACCUGUCAGUAAAAUAGACUAACACUAUUCCCCCUACCCCCC